Molecule: small RNA, 16 nt
Filed under: Arabidopsis thaliana (thale cress)
Lineage: Eukaryota; Viridiplantae; Streptophyta; Magnoliopsida; Brassicales; Brassicaceae
Description: ATSL179100
Source: RNAcentral
AAAAGAAACCAUCAAA